CUGGACAAAGACUGACGCUCAGGUGCGAAAGCGUGGGGAGCAAACAGGAUUAGAUACCCUUGGUAGUCCACGCUGUAAACGAUGUCGAUUUGAAGGUUGUUCCCUUGAGGAGUGGCUUUCGGAGCUAACGCGUUAAAUCGACCGCCUGGGGAGUACGGCCGCAAGGUUAAAACUCAAAUGAAUUGACGGGGGCCCGCACAAGCGGUGGAGCAUGUGGUUUAAUUCGAUGCAACGCGAAGAACCUUACCUACUCUUGACAUCCAGAGAACUUAGCAGAGAUGCUUUGGUGCCUUCGGGAACUCUGAGACAGGUGCUGCAUGGCUGUCGUCAGCUCGUGUUGUGAAAUGUUGGGUUAAGUCCCGCAACGAGCGCAACCCUUAUCCUUUGUUGCCAGCGAUUCGGUCGGGAACUCAAAGGAGACUGCCGGUGAUAAACCGGAGGAAGGUGGGGAUGACGUCAAGUCAUCAUGGCCCUUACGAGUAGGGCUACACACGUGCUACAAUGGCGUAUACAAAGAGAAGCGACCUCGCGAGAGCAAGCGGAACUCAUAAAGUACGUCGUAGUCCGGAUUGGAGUCUGCAACUCGACUCCAUGAAGUCGGAAUCGCUAGUAAUCGUAGAUCAGAAUGCUACGGUGAAUACGUUCCCGGGCCUUGUACACACCGCCCGUCACACCAUGGGAGUGGGUUGCAAAAGAAGUAGGUAGCUUAACCUUCGGGAGGGCGCUUACCACUUUGUGAUUCAUGA
RNAcentral lists this ribosomal RNA (746 nucleotides) under uncultured bacterium. RNAcentral's name for it is "bacterial SSU rRNA". It matches the Rfam family "Bacterial small subunit ribosomal RNA", at positions 729 to 1474 of the family's 1533-position model. The record is from RNAcentral.